AAAAAGACAAACCCUGGUUUCCGUGUCCAACGUUUGACCGUCCGUUUUAUUUGAAAAAAUUAUGAAAAAAAUUAAAAAGACAAGUCAUGCAUAAAAUAUUAAUUAUGUUUUAUCAUCUAACAACAAUAAAAAUACGAAUUAUAAAAAAUUUUCAUAUAAGACGGACAGUCAAAGUUGGACACGAAAACCUAGGGUUUGCUUUUUU
RNAcentral lists this microRNA precursor (205 nucleotides) under Oryza sativa Indica Group (long-grained rice). Its description in RNAcentral is "MIR812 microRNA precursor family". It matches the Rfam family "MIR812 microRNA precursor family". The record is from Rfam by way of RNAcentral. Lineage: Eukaryota; Viridiplantae; Streptophyta; Magnoliopsida; Poales; Poaceae.